AACCCUGACGCAGCAACGCCGCGUGGGUGAUGAAGGUCUUCGGAUUGUAAAGCCCUGUUUUCUAGGACGAUAAUGACGGUACUAGAGGAGGAAGCCACGGCUAACUACGUGCCAGCAGCCGCGGUAAUACGUAGGUGGCGAGCGUUGUCCGGAUUUACUGGGCGUAAAGGGUGCGUAGGCGGAUGUUUAAGUGGGAUGUGAAAUCCCCGGGCUUAACCUGGGGGCUGCAUUCCAAACUGGAUAUCUAGAGUGCAGGAGAGGAAAGCGGAAUUCCUAGUGUAGCGGUGAAAUGCGUAGAGAUUAGGAAGAACACCAGUGGCGAAGGCGGCUUUCUGGACUGUAACUGACGCUGAGGCACGAAAGCGUGGGUAGCAAACAGGAUUAGAUACCCUGGUAGUCCACGCCGUAAACGAUGGAUACUAGGUGUAGGGGGUAUCAACUCCCCCUGUGCCGCAGUUAACACAAUAAGUAUCCCGCCUGGGGAGUACGGUCGCAAGAUUAAAACUCAAAGGAAUUGACGGGGGCCCGCACAAGCAGCGGAGCAUGUGGUUUAAUUCGAAGCAACGCGAAGAACCUUACCUGGACUUGACAUCCCUUGCAUAGCCUAGAGAUAGGUGAAGCCCUUCGGGGCAAGGAGACAGGUGGUGCAUGGUUGUCGUC
Molecule: ribosomal RNA, 660 nt
Filed under: Clostridium botulinum
Lineage: Bacteria; Bacillati; Bacillota; Clostridia; Eubacteriales; Clostridiaceae
Description: bacterial SSU rRNA
Rfam family: Bacterial small subunit ribosomal RNA
Source: RNAcentral